AUGGCUGGUGUUCUAACGUGGGCCCCUAAUCGGGGUUGCGGACAGUGUCUGGUGGGUAGUUUGACUGGGGCGGUCUCCUCCUAAAGAGUAACGGAGGAGCACGAAGGUCAGCUAAUCCUGGUCGGACAUCAGGAGGUUAGUGCAAUGGCAUAAGCUGGCUUGACUGCGAGCGUGACGGCGCGAGCAGGUGCGAAAGCAGGUCAUAGUGAUCCGGUGGUUCUGAAUGGAAGGGCCAUCGCUCAACGGAUAAAAGGUACUCCGGGGAUAACAGGCUGAUACCGCCCAAGAGUUCAUAUCGACGGCGGUGUUUGGCACCUCGAUGUCGGCUCAUCACAUCCUGGGGCUGAAGUAGGUCCCAAGGGUAUGGCUGUUCGCCAUUUAAAGUGGUACGCGAGCUGGGUUUAGAACGUCGUGAGACAGUUCGGUCCCUAUCUGCCGUGGGCGCUGGAGAAUUGAGGGGGGCUGCUCCUAGUACGAGAGGACCGGAGUGGACGCAUCACUGGUGUUCGGGUUGUCAUGCCAAUGGCAUUGCCCGGUAGCUAAAUGCGGAAGAGAUAAGUGCUGAAAGCAUCUAAGCACGAAACUUGCC
This 589-nucleotide ribosomal RNA is filed under the name Klebsiella oxytoca. Its description in RNAcentral is "partial 23S ribosomal RNA". It matches the Rfam family "Bacterial large subunit ribosomal RNA", at positions 2210 to 2798 of the family's 2925-position model. The record is from RNAcentral. Lineage: Bacteria; Pseudomonadati; Pseudomonadota; Gammaproteobacteria; Enterobacterales; Enterobacteriaceae.